CCGAGUUUACAACUCCCAAACCCCUGUGAACAUACCUAUAUGUUGCCUCGGCGGAUCAGCCCGCGCCCCGUAAAACGGGACGGCCCGCCGCAGGAUCCACAAACUCUGUUUUUAUUGUAACUUCUGAGUAACGAAACAAAUAAAUCA
RNAcentral lists this unclassified non-coding RNA (147 nucleotides) under soil metagenome. Its description in RNAcentral is "partial internal transcribed spacer 1". The record is from RNAcentral.